AUUGAACGCUGGCGGCAGGCCUAACACAUGCAAGUCGAGCGGAUGAAGGGAGCUUGCUCCUGGAUUCAGCGGCGGACGGGUGAGUAAUUCCUAGGAAUCUGCCUGGUAGUGGGGGAUAACGUCCGGAAACGGGCGCUAAUACCGCAUACGUCCUGAGGGAGAAAGUGGGGGAUCUUCGGACCUCACGCUAUCAGAUGAGCCUAGGUCGGAUUAGCUAGUUGGUGGGGUAAAGGCCUACCAAGGCGACGAUCCGUGACUGGUCUGAGAGGAUGAUCAGUCACACGGGAACUAGACCACGGCCCAGAUCCCUACGGGAGGAAGCAGUGGGGAAUUUUGGACAAUGGGCGAAAGCCUGAUCCAGACAUGCCGCGUGUGUGAAGAAGGUUUUCGGAUUGUAAAGCACUUUAAGUUGGGAGGAAGGGCAGUAAGUUAAUACCUUGCUGUUUUGACGUUACCAACAGAAUAAGCACCGGCUAACUUCGUG
Molecule: ribosomal RNA, 484 nt
Filed under: uncultured bacterium
Lineage: Bacteria
Description: partial 16S ribosomal RNA
Rfam family: Bacterial small subunit ribosomal RNA
Source: RNAcentral